CGAUGACUACAAAGAGCAA
This 19-nucleotide small nuclear RNA is filed under the name Arabidopsis thaliana (thale cress). RNAcentral's name for it is "snRNA_08044". Lineage: Eukaryota; Viridiplantae; Streptophyta; Magnoliopsida; Brassicales; Brassicaceae. The record is from RNAcentral.